Molecule: ribosomal RNA, 465 nt
Filed under: uncultured bacterium
Lineage: Bacteria
Description: partial 16S ribosomal RNA
Rfam family: Bacterial small subunit ribosomal RNA
Source: RNAcentral
CCUACGGGUGGCAGCAGUGGGGAAUAUUGCGCAAUGGGCGCAAGCCUGACCCAGCGACGCCGCGUGAAGGAUGAAGGUCUUCGGGUCGUAAACCUCUGACAUCAGGGAAGAACGAUCCCUUUGCUACUCAGCCGUGAGUUGGCGCUACCUGCAAAGGCAGCGCCGGCUAACUCCGUACCAGCAGCCGCGGUAAUACGGAGGGUGCGGGCGUUAGUCGGAUUUACUGGGCGUAAAGCGCUCGUAGGCGGUAUUGCAAGUCACGGGUAAAAGCCCCGGGCUCAACGUAGGAACUGCCUUUGAAACUGGCAAACUGGAGUGCGGGAGAGGAUAGUGGAAUUCCAGGUGUAGGAGUGAAAUCCGUAGAUAUCCGGAGGAACAGCAGUGGCGAAGGCGAAUAGCUGGAAAAUAACUGACGCUGAGGAGCGAAAGCGUGGGUAGCAAACAGGAUUAGAUACCCCAGUAGUC